UACGGAGGGUGCAAGCGUUGCUCGGAAUUAUUGGGCGUAAAGCGUGAGUAGGUGGUCCUGUUUGUCCCGGGUGAAAGCCCUAGGCUCAACUUAGGAAGAGCCCGGGAAACGGCAGGACUAGAGUUCUAGAGAGGGUUGCGGAAUUCCCGGUGUAGCGGUGAAAUGCGUAGAGAUCGGGAGGAACACCUGAGGCGAAAGCGGCAACCUGGAUAGAUACUGACACUCAAUCACGAAAGCGUGGGGAUCAAACAGG
Molecule: ribosomal RNA, 253 nt
Filed under: uncultured bacterium
Lineage: Bacteria
Description: partial 16S ribosomal RNA
Rfam family: Bacterial small subunit ribosomal RNA
Source: RNAcentral